AGAUAUGACAGAGAUAUGGCUGUGACAUCUGUUCCCUUAUUGAUUGCCAGGAUUGAUUCAGAUGAUCUGGAUGGCUAGACAGGGAUGUUCCAUUCCUCCCUUCCAAGGCUGUGUGCCUUCAGCUGAUAAAGGUAAACUUCCCCUAUACAGAAGGACUGGUUUUUGGUAAAGGGUAAAUAUUAGUAUCUGCAACUCUUGCCAGAUCCUCAAGCAAGCUCUCAAAAGGUAUUGCUUAUGUGAACUUCAUGAUAACCACAAAGCAAACAUAUAAUAUGCAAAGGAAUA
RNAcentral lists this small nuclear RNA (285 nucleotides) under Rattus norvegicus (Norway rat). RNAcentral describes it as "7SK RNA". It matches the Rfam family "7SK RNA". Rfam says of the family: 7SK was discovered as an abundant small nuclear RNA in the mid-70s but a possible function has only recently been suggested. Lineage: Eukaryota; Metazoa; Chordata; Mammalia; Rodentia; Muridae. The record is from Rfam by way of RNAcentral.